Molecule: ribosomal RNA, 425 nt
Filed under: uncultured Orbus sp.
Lineage: Bacteria; Pseudomonadati; Pseudomonadota; Gammaproteobacteria; Orbales; Orbaceae
Description: bacterial SSU rRNA
Rfam family: Bacterial small subunit ribosomal RNA
Source: RNAcentral
UGGGGAAUAUUGCACAAUGGGGAACCUGAUGCAGCCAUGCCGCGUGUAUGAAGAAGGCCUUAGGGUUGUAAAGUACUUUCGGUGAUGAGGAUGGUACUUGGUCUAAUAGGCCAAGUAAUUGACGUUAAUUACAGAAGAAGCACCGGCUAACUCCGUGCCAGCAGCCGCGGUAAUACGGAGGGUGCGAGCGUUAAUCGGAAUGACUGGGCGUAAAGGGCAUGUAGGCGGAUGAUUAAGUUAGGUGUGAAAUCCCCGAGCUCAACUUGGGAAUUGCAUUUAAAACUGGUCGUCUAGAGUAUUGUAGAGGAAGGUAGAAUUCCACGUGUAGCGGUGAAAUGCGUUAGAGAUGUGGAGGAAUACCGGUGGCGAAGGCGGCCUUCUGGACAGAUACUGACGCUGAGAUGCGAAAGCGUGGGGAGCAAACA